Molecule: long non-coding RNA, 272 nt
Filed under: Manihot esculenta (cassava)
Lineage: Eukaryota; Viridiplantae; Streptophyta; Magnoliopsida; Malpighiales; Euphorbiaceae
Description: long non-coding RNA (MESC_LNC002615)
Source: RNAcentral
AGUUUCUUUCAAGCUACUCCAAUGAAGAAUCAGCUGAACUCCCACUACAUUCCAGAUUGAUAUAAUUAGGUAAAUCUUUAUGUUACGGCUUAACUAAACCACAUCCAACUAAAAUAAGCACCUUAACGAAACCAUGUUUGAGUUUGAAGAAAUUAGAAUAGAAGAAGAAGGCUUCUCCUUUGAAAACAGGAAGAGAGGAGGCAUGUCAUCUUUAAAUGACUUGGAUUUUUCUCAAAUCUAGUUCUUAUUGCAAAUGCAAUCUAAAGGGACUG